CUACGGGAGGCUCCAGUGGGGAAUAUUGGACAAUGGGGGAAACCCUGAUCCAGCAAUGCCGCGUGUGUGAAGAAGGCCUGCGGGUUGUAAAGCACUUUCGGUUGGGAGGACUGCUUCUAGCACUAAUAUUGUUGGAAGUUGACGUUACCUUCAGAAGAAGCACCGGCUAACUCCGUGCCAGCAGCCGCGGUAAUACGGAGGGUGCAGGCGUUAAUGAGAAUUACUGGGCGUAAAGCGCGCGUAGGCGGCUAGAUCAGUCGGGUGUGAAAGCCCCGGGCUUAACCUGGGAACUGCAUCCGAUACUGUCUAGCUUGAGUACAGGAGAGGAGAGUGGAAUUCCACAUGUAGCGGUGAAAUGCGUAGAUAUGUGGAGGAACACCAAUGGCGAAGGCAGCUCUCUGGCCUGAUACUGACGCUGAGGUGCGAAAGCGUGGGGAGCAAACAGGAUUAGAUACCCCAGUAGUC
Molecule: ribosomal RNA, 465 nt
Filed under: uncultured bacterium
Lineage: Bacteria
Description: partial 16S ribosomal RNA
Rfam family: Bacterial small subunit ribosomal RNA
Source: RNAcentral